CUACGGGAGGCUGCAGUAGGGAAUCUUGCGCAAUGGGCGAAAGCCUGACGCAGCCAUGCCGCGUGAAUGAUGAAGGUCUUAGGAUUGUAAAAUUCUUUCACCGGGGAAGAUAAUGACGGUACCCGGAGAAGAAGCCCCGGCUAACUUCGUGCCAGCAGCCGCGGUAAUACGAAGGGGGCUAGCGUUGCUCGGAAUUACUGGGCGUAAAGGGCGCGUAGGCGGACAGUUUAGUCAGAGUUGAAAGCCCAGGGCUCAACCUUGGAAUUGCCUUUGAUACUGGCUGUCUUGAGUUCGGGAGAGGUGAGUGGAAUGCCGAGUGUAGAGGUGAAAUUCGUAGAUAUUCGGCGGAACACCAGUGGCGAAGGCGACUCACUGGCCCGAUACUGACGCUGAGGCGCGAAAGCGUGGGGAGCAAACAGGAUUAGAUACCCGGGUAGUC
This 439-nucleotide ribosomal RNA is filed under the name uncultured bacterium. RNAcentral's name for it is "partial 16S ribosomal RNA". It matches the Rfam family "Bacterial small subunit ribosomal RNA", at positions 339 to 795 of the family's 1533-position model. The record is from RNAcentral.